UCUGGAGCCGGCGCACAUCUGGAUGGAGUCAGGCCCAGCGCCCGGGCCGGCGCCCAGCCAGUCCCCACCCGCUGGAUUUCCUGAUGUAAACAGAGCAAGAACACUGCAACUCUGCUGAAUGUGUCACGCGGCGCUCUUUAUCUGCUUGGGGUCAAGACGGCGACUUAGAAAAACAGAAGCGUUGCUUUGAAUUUAAACAGCUAAGAGCCAGAGCCGAGACUGGUCCUGCAGGGGGGAGGGCGAAGGCCUCCAGACCCACCUCCCGCUUUUGUGCCUACUUGUUCCACUUUAUGAAAAAUCAAGGCCAUUGAUCCUAUAGAGAGACACCUCAGAGAUCUCAUGGGUUUGGUUCCAGGCAUCGCAAUGAAGCAAAUACCACAAUACAAUGAGGCACGCACGUGUUUCGGUUUCCCAGUGAAAAUAAAAGUUGUUUAUUCUACAUUAUAGUCUAUUAAGUGUGCAACACUAGUACGUCUGAAAGAACAAUGUGUGUAGCUUAAUUUAAACAUACCUUCUUGCUAAAAAAUGCUCACCAUCAGCUGACAAUAUAGAGAGGCUAUGUAUCUUCAAUUUGUAAAAAAAAAAGUAGCAUCUUCCUUUGAGGCACAAGAAAAGUGCACCUGUGCUCCUUUCAUCCAGGUGGGACACGCCCAUGACCUGGAAACUCCAUCCCAAUGGUGCCGACACACCGCCGUGAAUUUCAAAGGGACCCAGGAGAUCCAAGAAAAGUGAUUUAGAGCUGGCCGUCUAAUGAUUCUGGAUGGGGGCUGUUGUGAGAGGCUUAGUCAGCCAGACAAGAGGCCUAAGGUCAGAUUAGAGAUGGAAGAUGUGUGUUAACUUGGACUUGAGGCCCCAGACAAUGAGGAAGAAGUCCCAUGGGUCAAUUUCUGGGUGUAUCUCUGUCAAAAGAUAUUUUUCAUGAAAAGGUGAAAGCGAGAUUCUCAUAGUGAUGUAAACAUGAGGCCGUGUUGAAGAUUUUGUCUUACUCAUUAACCACUGAGGGAACCAGGCAGGUGUUAAAAAUGGUCCAAAGGAGAGGUGAAAAGCACAAAUUUAUUUGGAGUAAGUUUGUGUAGGCAAACCUGAUUUUUCUACAGGAACAGUGAACUCUACUGAAAUUACACAGGACAACUGCAGUUUGCAUACCCAUCCUUCUCUGCAGUUUAUGAAGAGAUGUAAAAUAGCUGGCUGGCAGCAAGCCAGGUGAAAAGUCAGGCUGGUUUGAGGGCGGGGGUUGCUGUGGACUUGCAACAUUGUCAUCAAAGGACAUUUUUUCCUCUCCUGUCUGGGUUCCUUCUGCUGCUCUACACUCAUCACUGCCACCCCCCCACCCCACCCCCAAAAAAGUGAACUGAACCAGAGAAGGACCACAAGACAAAAGUCUUGCUCGUGCCAUCCUUCAGUUCCCUGGGAACAAACCAAACAAGUGAAUAUACAUAUUACAUUGGAAUGUGAGUUACAGUGGAGUGGGCAUUCCAUUCUCAGUUAUGCCAUUUUAUCGCUCUGCCAGCGAGACUCUUUCAAGCCCCGUGAGUUACUGAAUGAAUCCUGUCUGGUGCAGGAAAAUCAGAAUCCACCACUCAGAAAGUAACAAAGAAGUAGAUAAAAGAAAGUAACAGAAGUAGGUAAAAUAGUCACAACGUCACAUCCUGCAGAAGAGGAGUAUGGACCGCAGCAAAUUUUCACUCGCCUUCUGAUUGCAGAGUCUUCCUGCCUCCUCUCAGAACUGCGUCCUGCUGGCCCCUGUGGACGGUGAGGGAGGUGGAUGCCUGCAGAGGAGGAAGGGACUUCACACCCUGGCUUUGCUGCCAACAAGCCACGAGUCUGGGCAACUGGCAGCUCGAUAAAGGCAGGUCAGAUGGGUCAUCUCUGAAAGCGGGGCAUGUUCUGCCCCUCUGGUGAGGAUUCAGAAUGUCUUUCCUAAGUACCAGUGAGAACUAAACAAGGCCACAGAUGUAAAGCUCGGACAUGAGAUGCCCGGUAGAUGAUGUCAGGGCCUCCCGAUUACUGUUGUUACUGGUGACUCAGCGGCUUCCCACGGGGCCUGCGGCCGGGAGGAGAGAGGACGCUCAUCCCGCCCCUCCUGCGGGUGCCCUGCUGCGCCUGAGUGGGGGACGGGGAAGGGCCCUUGGGGGUCUGUUCGGGACCAUUUACUGGAGGAAGAUGUGGCCUGCCUGUUGGUGACUGAAGCCUUGUAAACACUCCUGCAGCCCAAGAGAUGGGGGAACGUGUGACUCCUGGAGCCUCCCUUGUCGUCACGAUGAGAUGACAUGUCGGUUUCAUUUCAGACUCUUCCUAAGGAGACUGAGCCGAGCAUUCAGGGCCUUCAGGCUGGUGGAAAGGCAUGAUUUGUUUCCUUAGGAAUUCCUUCUAUAGUACUUGGAGCUUUGUGGAUAAAGCAGCAGUCAGAGACGCCCUGUAGAAAUGGAGUGGAGGUGAUGCUAUUGGUACACUAUCCAUCUACCAGUGCAAGAGAUGCAGGGGUCAGGAAGAUCUCCUGGAGGAGGAAAUCGCAACCCGCUCCAGUAUUCUUGCCUGGAAGAUCCGGUGGACAGAGGAACCUGGUGGGCUACAGUCCAUGGGAUCUCAGAGUUGGACGUGACUGAGCAUGCGCCUGCACACAGGCAGGUAACGCCCCAUGAACCUGCCGACCGACACCUCCGCAUCACAACCUAAAGCUGAGUUUGUGCAGCUGCAGACUUCCCCAUGUCAUACCUGAAACAAAGCGUCCUUCUCUUUCCUGGUGAUAUUGUGCAAACAAGAUGGUCCUCCUUGCUUCUCAGACCAUCAGCUCUGCUUCUCAUCUGGCCCAGCCUCCUGUGAAGUCAUAGCUCUGUGAUAUGGCAGCCGUUACCAAGAUGGAAAUGAUUAGGACGUCACGGGAGCUGGCACAGGAUGGCCCAUGUUCCGGACAGGACCAGGACCCCGGGUCCCAACCACAGCUCUGCUAUCCACCCAGCCCUGCUUGGUGGCUGGGGAAAGCCGCUUCGCCUUCCCCAAGUCGAUCCUGGCGGUCUGCUGGUCAUGGCCUCAGAAGCUUGGAUGCCUGCGCCUGGACCAGCUGUUGUCUGUUGUCCCUGGGGAUGCUAGGCUCCCCCGGGUAACUGGAUGAGGCAAGCCUUUCUGGGACACCUUUCAAGUUGGGAAACUGGAGCACAGGCUCUGAGAGAAGGCAGCUGCAGGAAGUCUGGCAGAGGCACCCAUCCCCUCUGCUGAGAACAGGAAUGAGCCUGGCUGUGGGCUUGGAUGAGCUGGAGGGGGAGGACAUCCCGAAGGACUGAGGAGGGUGUUUCUAUACUGAAGAUUAACCUCGGGGUUGCGGGGGAAGGGGGGGGAAGGCUCAGAGGGAGAGGACAGUGGUCAUCAAACUUUUCCAUAAUCAAACUUUGUAGGAGACAGUUUAGCUGAAUCAGUCUAACCUUUGAGAUAAUGCUCUUUAGAAGAAAACAGAAGAUGAGAUUUUCACAGUGAGGGAACGAGCAAUGUGAGACUUUGCUGCUCUUGCUGCCCCAACCCAAUCCUUCCUCACAUAGUUGUCACCAUUCCCCUGGGAGACUGAAACCACCAGCCUCCUCUUCUGGCCUGGGGACUCCUUGUCUGUAGCCCCACUUGUGGGGGUGAAAGGCUGGAGCCCACCCACCCACCUGUGUUCAGCUGUUGGGGCUGGUGUCUGGCCAACUGGUAGACCUGAUAGGUCUUCUGCCUGUCACACCCCCCAGCUUCAGGGACUUUCACAGAAACAUCCAGUUAUCACCUGCCCGCUUCAGUGGAGGAGAGGGGUCCGGACCACUGUGGACAAGUGUUAACUUCCUGGGUGUGAACGACGAGAAGACACAACCUACAUGUAUGAUCUGUGUUUCAUCUGGGGACUGUACAGAGGACUGUAGUCCAAAGGUGGCCUCUCGGUAGCUCAAGGGGCCGUCCUGAAAAGGUCAGAGAGGAACCAGGACCUAAAGGAGCUCCUGGCUGAGAAAAAAAUCCAGUUAACAGCAAGAGAUAUCUGCUGAUCACUGAAAACAGAUACCACCAGUUUGCGACUUUAAUGCUUGUCUAGGUAUGGGAAGAUGCCAGAGUCUGAUGGGCCGACCUGGUUCUCAGGGGUCCAUCCGCCCGCCCUUGAUCUCCCCCAUCCAGGCGCGGGGCCGGCUCCCCAGAGCCUGGAGUCAGCAUCUCAGCCUCAGCUCACCCCACCGCCUGCUCACCCUGCUUCCCCAGCCUGACUCACCUGCCCCCAUGUGGAGGGGCCUGUCUGGACCUGGUCCAUGUCACUCAGAAGCCCCAGUUUGUUGUGGGCCUGUCGCCAGAGCCCUACCCUCACAGCCACCUGCCCUCCAGGACACCUGCCAGGAAUUUCAGAGGCAGCAUAGCUACGACAUCAGUGGUGGCGCCCCCCCCUCCCCCGCAGAAAUCCCAUUUCAGGAAAUGAGACCACUGUCCACUCCGUCCACUGAGUAAGACAAUGGGGCUCCCAUGAGCACUUCCGUCCACCCCCUGCCUGCAUGCCCAGCUGCUCUUCCUGCCUGUUUCCUCUCUCUGUGGCCCCCCCAGGGGUCCUCACCUCCCUUCCCACUGCUGUCCUUGGGUUCACCCCACAUGGCCUAUGCUGGCCCCGCCGCUCCCCUCGCCCUCCGCCAGGUCUCCCUGCUUCCCUCUGGUCGGCCACAGCCUCGUGUCCACACCCUGUAGAGAGCCCCUCCAAAAGCCUCCCUGAAUCACAGACCCACAGCUGGCCCACGUUUCCUGACAACUCUCGGCAUCCUGGUCCCCUCUGUCUGGGCUUUCCAAGCUAUGGGCAGCCCCGACCUCCUUCCCGAGCACAAGACCGCUUCCUCUCCCCAAACAUCAGCUGUCUCCUCCUUGGCCCCAGUGCCCUGCGCUGCCCAGGACACACCUGCACAGCUCUGCAUGGCCCUGCACGGCCUGGGAACUGCCUCCCAGGGUCACCACGCGGAGCCUCGGGGCGCCUGUCCACACUCUGCCCGGCAGGUCAGGCAGGUUCUCGCCCAUCCCCUCUGUUACUCUCUAUUCCCUUCAAGAACAUUUUCGCACACAAGCAGACAGGUGGUGUCCAUGACAAACCCAGCCCCGGACGGAACCUGGCCUUUCUAGAAGGAACGGUAAACACCUGCUGGAGGCCCAUGCCCACCUACUCACCAAAUGACCAGCAGGAGGGGCAGCUGCAGUGGGCAUUUUCCCAGGGAUGGCCAGCCGGAGCCCGAGGCUUCUGUGGAACCAGCUCCGGGCUCCUAGGACCAGACCCCACUUCUCAGGGAGCACCCAUAGCUGUGUGUGCUGGUUCCUUCCCACGGUGGCUGGCGUGAGCUGCAGGGUCCAAACUUCCAGCAGUGGGUCUAGGUGGGGAGCAGGUGGUGUCUGCCUGCUCCAUCCCCUAAGAAGAGGGUGGGGUCCAGGGAGCCCAGGAGAAUCCCCCCGGGCCCUCUUCUUUGUGAGCUGGGAUUUGCCCCUGGAGCUUGUUCCCCAAGGCAGCCAAGUGCUGACAGUGCGGCCCCGAGCUUGAAACUGGCGGCUCUGCUUCUGCCGCUUCCACCCUCAGAGCAGAGGGCUGUGCAGUGACACAGGGACGUGCCCUUGUCUGUGUGUGACACAUGGGUGUCUUGUGUGUGACCAGUUGCACGGCAGUGAGCACAGCAAGAGCUCUCGCCAGCCUCCUGCAGCCUCCGGCUCUGCACCGAGGACCGGGUUCCUGUUGUCUAUCUCCCACUGGGCUCCCUGGCUGAGCUCCCCAUGCAGAUCCACCAGACUCAGCCCACCCUUCAGCCUCAGGGUCUUGUCUUUCCAGCUCCACCUCCUUCUCCUGCGCCCCAGUGUCAGCCUCCUUCAGAUAGUGCUAACCCUGCAAGCCCCCCUCUCCACCUGUGUCCCCCCCGCCCCGCCGCCCCCCGCUUCCCAUGAUUCGUUCAUGGGACUGUUCACUUCUCCAGCCUAUCUGAUCCUCCCCUUCCCUUGCCCUGAGUCUGUGACCCUGGGCUGUACAUUCACGGCAGACCCUGGCCUAUCCAAGCAGAGUUGCUCCUUGGGUGUAAAGAUGGUAAAAGGCCUCAUUAGUCAUUUUUGUCCCUGUCCCUUGGACAGCAAGGAGAUCAAACCAGUCAAUCCUAAAGGAAAUUAACCCUGAAUAUUCAUUGAAAGGACUGAUGCUGAAGCUGAAGCUCUAAUACUUUGGCCACCUGAUGCAAAGAGCAUUGGAAAAUACCCUGAUGCAGAGAAAGACUGAAGGCAGGAGGAGAAGUGGGUAAUGAGAGAUGAGAGAUGGUUGGAUGUCAUUACUGAGUCAAUGGACAUGAAUUUGAGCAAACUAUGCGAGAUGGUGAAGGACAGGGAGGCCUGGUGAGCUGCAGUCCAUGGGGUUACAAAGAGUCGGAUAGGACUGAGCUACUGAACAACAAAGUAAAUUUUGUAUCAGUUAUGUGUAGAGUUGGUAAUAUUUUAGAUAAAUGGGGUAAAAACAUUUUAAACUGA
Long non-coding RNA from Dama dama (fallow deer), 6480 nucleotides. RefSeq lists it as uncharacterized. Lineage: Eukaryota; Metazoa; Chordata; Mammalia; Artiodactyla; Cervidae. The transcript has 7 exons. The record is from RefSeq and is a predicted model, not a curated record.